Molecule: ribosomal RNA, 720 nt
Filed under: Calospasta imperialis
Lineage: Eukaryota; Metazoa; Arthropoda; Insecta; Coleoptera; Meloidae
Description: SSU rRNA
Rfam family: Eukaryotic small subunit ribosomal RNA
Source: RNAcentral
CGGCGCGCAAUUACCCACUCCCGGCACGGGGAGGUAGUGACGAAAAAUAACGAUACGGGACUCAUCCGAGGCCCCGUAAUCGGAAUGAGUACACUUUAAAUCCUUUAACAAGGAUCAAUUGGAGGGCAAGUCUGGUGCCAGCAGCCGCGGUAAUUCCAGCUCCAAUAGCGUAUAUUAAAGUUGUUGCGGUUAAAAAGCUCGUAGUCGAAUUUGUGUCUCAUGCCGCUGGUUCAUCGUUCGCGGUGUAAACUGGCGUGACAUGGGACGUCCUGCCGGUGGGCUUAGCUCCUUCGGGGGCGGCCCUAUCAAUCCUGCUUCGUUGCUCUUGAUUGAGUGUCGAGGUGGGCCGGCUCAUUUACUUUGAACAAAUUAAAGUGCUUAAAGCAGGCUAAAAUAUUGCCUGAAUAUGUGUGCAUGGAAUAAUGGAAUAGGACCUCGGUUCUAUUUUGUUGGUUUUAAGAACCCCGAGGUAAUGAUUAAUAGGAACGGAUGGGGGCAUUCGUAUUGCGACGUUAGAGGUGAAAUUCUUGGAUCGUCGCAAGACGAACAUAAGCGAAAGCAUUUGCCAAAAACGUUUUCAUUGAUCAAGAACGAAAGUUAGAGGUUCGAAGGCGAUCAGAUACCGCCCUAGUUCUAACCAUAAACGAUGCCAGCCAGCGAUCCGCCGACGUUCCUCCGAUGACUCGGCGGGCAGCUUCCGGGAAACCAAAGCUUUUGGGU